UACGAUGGGGGCGAGCGUUGUUCGGAUUUACUGGGCGUAAAGGGCGCGCAGGCGGUUCUGUUUGUCGAGUGUGAAAGCCCCGGGCUCAACCUGGGAACUGCGCUCGAAACGGCGGAACUAGAGUUCGGGAGAGGAGAGUGGAAUUCCCAGUGUAGAGGUGAAAUUCGUAGAUAUUCGGAAGAACACCAGUGGCGAAGGCGACUUACUGGACGACCGUUGACGCUGAGGUGCGAAAGCGUGGGGAGCAAACAGG
This 253-nucleotide ribosomal RNA is filed under the name uncultured bacterium. Its description in RNAcentral is "partial 16S ribosomal RNA". It matches the Rfam family "Bacterial small subunit ribosomal RNA", at positions 524 to 776 of the family's 1533-position model. The record is from RNAcentral.